This is a long non-coding RNA of Gasterosteus aculeatus aculeatus (three-spined stickleback), 551 nucleotides long. The record is from Ensembl. Lineage: Eukaryota; Metazoa; Chordata; Actinopteri; Perciformes; Gasterosteidae.
UUUGAAAAUGCGUUACUGUUCAAUAAGUCGUAACAUUGUUCCUGUUUAACCAAGAAAAGAGUUCAUCUUUUCCUUAAUAGUCAAUCUUUGUCAUUCCAUGCACAGAGAUUUAUUUAAGUGAUCAUCUGUCUCUAUAUAGACGAUCUUUGUUUUCUCCGCCGACUGUUUUACUGAAGUAAGUUAAGAGAGCAGAAAACCUAUGAUUCAUCGAAAAAUUUGAAUAUUGAAGCAUGAGCCAUUCAAAAUCGCGAGUUUCGAGGAGGAGGAUCAAACCUUUGAACAUUUAAUAUUCUGGUUGUUUUUUUUGGAUAGCUCCAUGACUGGAACCAGAAGUACUGUCCGGUCUGCCACCACAUCUUCAUCCAUCCACCACCAAGAGGACCCUCACAUCGGACGUCACAGUGCGCCUGGAGUCCCUUUGACUUGACUUUGGUUGUGCACAGAAGGGUGAUCUCACAAAGCGGUCGGAGAGGAAAAGUAGGGCGCUCCCUUUGCAACCCAAGACUACGUCUCUUCAUAAGGCACUGAAUUAUUUUGUUUUAAAAACAAAC